RNAcentral lists this ribosomal RNA (483 nucleotides) under uncultured bacterium. Its description in RNAcentral is "partial 16S ribosomal RNA". It matches the Rfam family "Bacterial small subunit ribosomal RNA", at positions 28 to 507 of the family's 1533-position model. The record is from RNAcentral.
GAUGAACGCUGGCGGCGUGCCUAACACAUGCAAGUCGAACGGAGUCGUUUUGGAAAUCUCUUCGGAGAUGGAAUUCUCGACUUGGUGGCGGACGGGUGAGUAACGCGUGAGCAAUCUGCCUUUAAGAGGGGGAUAACAGUCGGAAACGGCUGCUAAUACCGCAUAAAGCAUUAAAUUCGCAUGUUUUUGAUGCCAAAGGAGCAAUCCGCUUUUAGAUGAGCUCGCGUCUGAUUAGCUAGUUGGCGGGGUAACGGCCCACCAAGGCGACGAUCAGUAGCCGGACUGAGAGGUUGAACGGCCACAUUGGGACUGAGACACGGCCCAGACUCCUACGGGAGGCAGCAGUGGGGAAUAUUGCGCAAUGGGGGAAACCCUGACGCAGCAACGCCGCGUGAUUGAAGAAGGCCUUCGGGUUGUAAAGAUCUUUAAUCAGGGACGAAACAAAUGACGGUACCUGAAGAAUAAGCUCCGGCUAACUACGUG